AUGCACGCUGGCGGCGUGCCUAAUACCUGCAAGUCGCGCGAACAGACGAGGAGCUUGCUCCUCUGACGUUAGCGGCGGCCGGGUGAGUAACACGUGGAUAACCUACCUAUAAGACUGGGAUAACUUCGGGAAACCGGAGCUAAUACCGGAUAAUAUAUUGAACCGCAUGGUUCAAUAGUGAAAGACGGUUUUGCUGUCACUUAUAGAUGGAUCCGCGCCGCAUUAGCUAGUUGGUAAGGUAACGGCUUACCAAGGCAACGAUGCGUAGCCGACCUGAGAGGGUGAUCGGCCACACUGGAACUGAGACACGGUCCAGACUCCUACGGGAGGCAGCAGUAGGGAAUCUUCCGCAAUGGGCGAAAGCCUGACGGAGCAACGCCGCGUGAGUGAUGAAGGUCUUCGGAUCGUAAAACUCUGUUAUUAGGGAAGAACAAAUGUGUAAGUAACUAUGCACGUCUUGACGGUACCUAAUCAGAAAGCCACGGCUAACUACGUG
This 496-nucleotide ribosomal RNA is filed under the name uncultured bacterium. RNAcentral describes it as "partial 16S ribosomal RNA". It matches the Rfam family "Bacterial small subunit ribosomal RNA", at positions 29 to 507 of the family's 1533-position model. The record is from RNAcentral.